Molecule: ribosomal RNA, 1142 nt
Filed under: human gut metagenome
Description: bacterial LSU rRNA
Rfam family: Bacterial large subunit ribosomal RNA
Source: RNAcentral
UUCCUGCACCGCGCACGCGGCGCUACGACCGACGGGGCGACGGAUGGGGGUGGCUCGGCGGGGUUCUGGACGUCCCCGUGAUGGAGCGCGGCCCGCGGACCAGGGAAAUCCGGUCCGCAUCAAGGGCGAGGCUCCGGACGAAGCGACUGAGCGAAGCGAGUGAGCCCGAGGUCCCUAGAAAAACCCCUAGGCAGGCGCGUGCGCGCCCGUACCGCAAACCGACACAGGUGGGUGGGUAGAACAUACCGAGGCGAUCGGGUCAACCAUGGUCAAGGAACUCGGCACAAUGGCCCCGUAACUUCGGGAGAAGGGGUGCCCGCGCGUACGUGAACCGGCUUGCCCGGGGAGCGGAGGCGGGCCGCAGUGGAGAGGCCCAAGCGACUGUUUACCAAAAACACAGGACUCUGCAGAAGCCGCAAGGCGACGUAUAGGGUCUGACGCCUGCCCGGUGCCGGAAGGUCACGCGGAGGAGUUAGCCGUUAAGGCGAAGCCCCGAAGCCAAGCCCCGGUAAACGGCGGCCGUAACUAUAACGGUCCUAAGGUAGCGAAAUUCCUUGUCGGGUAAGUUCCGACCUGCACGAAAGGCGCAACGACUUGGGCGCUGUCUCGACCAUGGACCCGGUGAAAUUGCACUGGUCGUGAAGAUGCGACUUACCCGCGGAAGGACGGAAAGACCCCGUGAACCUUCACUGCAGCUUGGCAUUGGCCGCUGGUCCCGCGUGUAGAGGAUAGGCAGGAGGCUAAGAUCCGGAGGCGCCAGCCCCCGGGGAGCCGCCCUUGGAAUACUGCCCUCGCGCGACCGGCGUCCUAACCCGAGGCCGUCAACCGGCUCGGGGACCGUGCCAGGCGGGCAGUUUGACUGGGGCGGUCGCCUCCUAAAGGGUAACGGAGGCGCGCGAAGGUCCGCUCGGGACGGUCGGCAACCGUCCUUUUGAAUGCAAGAGUACAAGCGGGCUUGACUGCGAGGCCCACAAGCCGAGCAGGUGCGAAAGCAGGCUCUAGUGAUCCGGCGGCCCCGAGUGGGUGGGCCGUCGCUCAACGGAUAAAAGGUACUCCGGGGAUAACAGGCUGAUCUUGCCCAAGAGUCCACAUCGACGGCAAGGUUUGGCACCUCGAUGUCGGCUCAUCGCAUCCUGGGGCUG